CUACCUUUGACAUGUACGGAAUUCGCCAGAGAUGGCUUAGUGCUCGAAAGAGAACCGUAACACAGGUGCUGCAUGGCUGUCGUCAGCUCGUGUCGUGAGAUGUUGGGUUAAGUCCCGCAACGAGCGCAACCCUUGUCAUUAGUUGCUACAUUUAGUUGGGCACUCUAAUGAGACUGCCGGUGACAAACCGGAGGAAGGUGGGGAUGACGUCAAGUCCUCAUGGCCCUUAUAGGUAGGGCUACACUCGUCAUACAAUGGCUGGUACAAAGGGUU
Molecule: ribosomal RNA, 273 nt
Filed under: uncultured bacterium
Lineage: Bacteria
Description: partial 16S ribosomal RNA
Rfam family: Bacterial small subunit ribosomal RNA
Source: RNAcentral